RNAcentral lists this ribosomal RNA (2741 nucleotides) under human gut metagenome. RNAcentral describes it as "bacterial LSU rRNA". It matches the Rfam family "Bacterial large subunit ribosomal RNA". The record is from RNAcentral.
AGAGCGCAAGGGGAAUGCCUUGGCAUCAAGAGCCGAUGAAGGACGUGACAAGCUGCGAUAAGCUGCGGGGAGCUGCACAUAAGCAUUGAUCCGCAGAUUUCCGAAUGGGGAAACCCGUCAGAGCAAUACUCUGACAACGUGCAUUGAAUAAAAUAGGUGUACGUGGGGAACCGCCUGAACUGAAACAUCUAAGUAGGGCGAGGAAGAGAAAUCAAAAGAGAUUCCGCUAGUAGUGGCGAGCGAACGCGGAAGAGGGCAAACCGGAGGAUUUAUUCUCCGGGGUUGAGGACCGACGCACGAUACAAUAGGUUAGCUGAACGGCAUGGGAAGGCCGACCAGAGCGGGUGAUAGUCCCGUAAGUGAAAACCGAUUUGUGUCAGUUGGGAUCCAGAGUACCGCAGGACACGUGAAACCCUGUGGGAAACUGGGGGGACCACCCUCCAACCCUAAAUACUACUUGAUGACCGAUAGAGGAGCAGUACCGUGAGGGAAAGGUGAAAAGGACCCCGGGAGGGGAGUGAAAGAGAACCUGAAACCUUGUGCUUACAAGCACUCAAAGCCCGUUAAUGGGUGAUGAGGUACUUUUUGUAGAACGGUCCGGCGAGUUAUUGUAUGUAGCAAGCUUAAGGUAUUCAGUACCGGAGGCGAAGCGAGAGCGAGUCUGAACAGGGCGAAAUGAAGUUGCAUGCAAUAGACCCGAAACCAGGUGACCUAUCCAUGAGCAGGUUGAAGUGGAGGUAAAACUCCAUGGAGGACCGAACCGACCCCCGUUGCAAUGGUGGCGGAUGACUUGUGGAUAGCGGAGAAAUUCUAAUCGAACUUGGAGAUAGCUGGUUCUCCCCGAAAUAGCUUUAGGGCUAGCGUUGAUUUAGAUUACCGGAGGUAAAGCACUGAAUGGGCUAGGGGCUGAUAAAGUUACUGAACCCUAUCAAACUCAGAAUGCCGGCUAAUUGAUGAUCAGCAGUCAGACUACGUGAGAUAAGUCUCGUGGUCAAAAGGGAAACAGCCCAGACCUACAGCUAAGGUCCCAAAUAUACGCUAAGUGGAAAACGAUGUGGAAUUGCGAAAACAACCAGGAUGUUGGCUUAGAAGCAGCCACUCAUUAAAAGAGUGCGUAAUAGCUCACUGGUCGAGUGACUCUGCGCGGAAAAUGUAACGGGGCUAAGCGUAUAACCGAAGCUUAGGAUGCAGCAAUGCGUGGUAGGGGAGCGUCGAAUACGGGGCGAAGUCGCAGCGGAAGCAGCGGUGGACUGUAUUCGAGUGAGAAUGCCGGAAUGAGUAGCGAGAAUUAUGUGGGAAUCAUAAUGGCCGAAAAUCUAAGGUUUCUUGGGGAAGGUUCGUCCGCCCAAGGUAAGCCGGGAGCUAAGGCGAGGCCGAGAGGCGUAGUCGAUGCACAUACGGUUGAAAUUCCGUAGCCACCGAAACUUAAGCUAGAAGGACACUUGAAACUAUCUGGACCCGGGCGUUGGUUGACCCGGGCGAAAGGGACCGAAAUCAAGUAGGGAAGCCAGAGAACGUCGAGGCGAGAAAAGUUCUAGUGAAUGCUAAGGUGCCCGUACCGCAAACCGACACAGGUAGAUGAGGAGAGGAUCCUAAGGCCAACGGGAGAAGGGUUGUUAAGGAACUCGGCAAAAUUACCCCGUAACUUCGGGAUAAGGGGAGCUCCCUAAGGGGAGCCGCAGAGAAUAGGCCCAAGCGACUGUUUACCAAAAACACAGGUCUAUGCUAAAUCGAAAGAUGACGUAUAUGGGCUGACGCCUGCCCGGUGCUGGAAGGUUAAGAGGAGAGCUUAGCGCAAGCGAAGGUUUGAAUUGAAGCCCCAGUAAACGGCGGCCGUAACUAUAACGGUCCUAAGGUAGCGAAAUUCCUUGUCGGGUAAGUUCCGACCCGCACGAAAGGCGUAAUGAUUUGAGCGCUGUCUCGACAAUGCACCCGGUGAAAUUGAAAUACCAGUGAAGAUGCUGGUUACCUGCGCCAGGACGGAAAGACCCCAUGGAGCUUUACUCCAGCUUGAUACUGGGAUUCGGUAAUGCAUGCACAGGAUAGGUGGGAGGCUAUGAGUAUGGAACUCCGGUUUCAUAUGAGCCGCUGUUGGGAUACCACCCUUGCGUUACUGGGUUUCUAACCAUGGCCCGUGAUCCGGGUCGGGGACAAUGUCAGGUGGGGAGUUUGACUGGGGCGGUCGCCUCCGAAAGGGUAUCGGAGGCGCUCAAAGGUUCCCUCAGAAUGGUUGGAAACCAUUCGAAGAGUGCAAAGGCAGAAGGGAGCUUGACUGCGACACCGACGGGUGGAGCAGGUACGAAAGUAGGACUUAGUGAUCCGGUGGUAUAAAGUGGGAUUGCCAUCGCUCAACGGAUAAAAGCUACCCUGGGGAUAACAGGCUUAUCACUCCCAAGAGUUCACAUCGACGGAGUGGUUUGGCACCUCGAUGUCGGCUCAUCGCAUCCUGGGGCUGUAGUAGGUCCCAAGGGUUGGGCUGUUCGCCCAUUAAAGCGGUACGCGAGCUGGGUUCAGAACGUCGUGAGACAGUUCGGUCCCUAUCCGGCGUGGGCGUAGGAUAUCUGAGAGGAGCUGUCCUUAGUACGAGAGGACCGGGAUGGACGGACCGCUGGUGGACCGGUUGGCUUGCCAAAGCCAUGGCCGGGUAGCCAAGUCCGGAAGGGAUAAACGCUGAAGGCAUCUAAGCGUGAAGCCCCCCUCAAGAUGAGAUAUCCCAUUCGUUAAGAAGUAAGACCCCUUGA